GGGGAAGUAUGGUUGCAAAGCUGAAACUUAAAGGAAUUGACGGAAGGGCACCACCAGGAGUGGAGCUUGCGGCUUAAUUUGACUCAACACGGGGAAACUCACCCGGCCCGGACACCGUAAGGAUUGACAGAUUGAGAGCUCUUUCUUGAUUCGGUGGUUGGUGGUGCAUGGCCGUUCUUAGUUGGUGGAGCGAUUUGUCUGGUUUAUUCCGAUAACGAACGAGACUCUGGCCUACUAACUAGUGACAGGAUUAUUGCUGUCCUGGUUACUUCUUAGAGGGACAAGUGGUGUUCAGCCACACGAAAUUGAGCAAUAACAGGUCUGUGAUGCCCUUAGAUGUCCGGGGCUGCACGCGUGCUACACUGGAGGAAACAGCAUGCAAAACCAUUGCCGAGAGGCAUUGGUAAACCGAAGAAAAUCUUCCGUGAUCGGGAUCGGGAAUUGCAAUUAUUUCCCUUGAACGAGGAAUUCCCAGUAAGUGUGGGUCAUCAGCUCGCGUUGAUUACGUCCCUGCCCUUUGUACACACCGCCCGUCGCUGCCCGGGACUGAGCCGUUUCGAGAAAAGCGGGGACUGCUGCUGUCGGGGCUUUCGGGCCUUGGCUUCGGUGGAAACCGCUUUAAUCGCAGUGGCUUGAACCGGGGCAAAAGUCGUAACAAGGUUUCCGNUAGGUGAACCUGCGGAAAGGAUCAUUAUCGAGCUAAAAAGACUCUCUAUCGCCUCAGGAGAGCCGCCCCNNCUGAAUGUCCGAACGGGUCUGA
This 760-nucleotide ribosomal RNA is filed under the name Plectus sp. 295Ple3. RNAcentral describes it as "bacterial SSU rRNA". It matches the Rfam family "Eukaryotic small subunit ribosomal RNA", at positions 1117 to 1831 of the family's 1831-position model. Lineage: Eukaryota; Metazoa; Nematoda; Chromadorea; Plectida; Plectidae. The record is from RNAcentral.